UUGUCUGGUGCCUGCUAUGAACUAAAUGCUUUUACUUAUAGUUGUUUAAUACUACCAAUAAAUGUUUUGACAAAUUUAACCCAUUAAUUUUAUGAUGAAGGCAGAAAGAGGCUUUUGAAAUUACUAACAUGUGGGGGUAUGAUGAGUUGUAUCCAUCCAUAGUAAUUGUUUAAGAGCAUACCUCUAAUUCCUCAGCUCUUAGACUCUCUUGCAAGCUUGAUAAUAAAGAGAAGGAUUUCAUGAUUUCUUGCUCUGACAACUUCCCAGGUAUUGCAGCUCUGUUCUU
RNAcentral lists this long non-coding RNA (286 nucleotides) under Bos taurus (domestic cattle). Its description in RNAcentral is "long non-coding RNA NONBTAT024108". The record is from RNAcentral. Lineage: Eukaryota; Metazoa; Chordata; Mammalia; Artiodactyla; Bovidae.